GACGAACGCUGGCGGCGUGCUUAACACAUGCAAGUCGAACGGAAAGGCCCUGCUUUUGUGGGGUUCUCGAGGGGCGAACGGGUGAGUAACACGUGAGUAACCUGCCCUUGACUUUGGGAUAACUUCAGGAAACUGGGGCUAAUACCGGAUAGGAUCUGCUGCUGCAUGGUGGGGGUUGGAAAGUUUCGGCGGUUGGGGAUGGACUCGCGGCUUAUCAGCUUGUUGGUGGGGUAGUGGCUUACCAAGGGUUUGACGGGUAGCCGGCCUGAGAGGGUGACCGGCCACAUUGGGACUGCGAGAGGGCCCAGAGUCCAACGGGAGGCAGCAGUGGGAAAUAUUGCACAAUGGGCGGAAGCCUGAUGCAGAAACGCCGCGUGCGGGAUGACGGCCUUCGGGUUGUAAACAGCUUUCGCCUGUGACGAAGCGGGAGUGACGGUAAUGGGUAAAGAAGCACCGGCUAACUACGUG
Molecule: ribosomal RNA, 468 nt
Filed under: uncultured bacterium
Lineage: Bacteria
Description: partial 16S ribosomal RNA
Rfam family: Bacterial small subunit ribosomal RNA
Source: RNAcentral